This 397-nucleotide ribosomal RNA is filed under the name uncultured Actinomycetes bacterium. RNAcentral describes it as "bacterial SSU rRNA". It matches the Rfam family "Bacterial small subunit ribosomal RNA", at positions 370 to 779 of the family's 1533-position model. The record is from RNAcentral. Lineage: Bacteria; Bacillati; Actinomycetota; Actinomycetes.
AAUGGGCGAAAGCCUGACGCAGCAACGCCGCGUGCGGGAUGAAGGCCUUCGGGUUGUAAACCGCUUUCAGCAGGGAAGAAGCGAAAGUGACGGUACCUGCAGAAGAAGCACCGGCUAACUACGUGCCAGCAGCCGCGGUAAUACGUAGGGUGCAAGCGUUGUCCGGAUUUAUUGGGCGUAAAGAGCUCGUAGGCGGUUAGUCGCGUCGGAUGUGAAAUCCCAGUGCUUAACACUGGGCCUGCAUUCGAUACGGGCUGACUAGAGUGUUGUAGGGGAGACUGGAACUCCUGGUGUAGCGGUGAAAUGCGCAGAUAUCAGGAAGAACACCGGUGGCGAAGGCGGGUCUCUGGGCAACUACUGACGCUGAGGAGCGAAAGCGUGGGGAGCAAACAGGAUU